UACGGAGGGUGCAAGCGUUGUCCGGAUUUAUUGGGUUUAAAGGGUGCGUAGGCGGCUUUUUAAGUCAGUGGUGAAAUCCAGCAGCUUAACUGUUGAAUUGCCAUUGAUACUGGAGAGCUUGAGUACAGACGAGGUAGGCGGAAUUUAUGGUGUAGCGGUGAAAUGCAUAGAUACCAUAAAGAACACCGAUUGCGAAGGCAGCUUACUAGGCUGUAACUGACGCUGAGGCACGAAGGUCAGGGGAGCAAACGGG
RNAcentral lists this ribosomal RNA (253 nucleotides) under uncultured bacterium. Its description in RNAcentral is "partial 16S ribosomal RNA". It matches the Rfam family "Bacterial small subunit ribosomal RNA", at positions 524 to 776 of the family's 1533-position model. The record is from RNAcentral.